GACGGAGGGUGCUAUCGUUGUUCGGAAUUACUGGGUGUAAAGGGCGCGUAGGCAGUUUAUCAAGUUGGGCGUGAAAGCCCCGGGCUUAACCUGGGAAUUGCGUUUGAUACUGGUAGACUAGAGGACGGGAGAGGAAAGUGGAAUUCCUAGUGUAGAAGUGAAAUUCGUAGAUAUUAGGAGGAACACCAGAGGCGAAGGCGACUUUCUGGACCGAUUCUGACGCUGAGGCGCGAAAGCGUGGGGAGCAAACAGG
Molecule: ribosomal RNA, 253 nt
Filed under: uncultured bacterium
Lineage: Bacteria
Description: partial 16S ribosomal RNA
Rfam family: Bacterial small subunit ribosomal RNA
Source: RNAcentral